Molecule: ribosomal RNA, 465 nt
Filed under: uncultured bacterium
Lineage: Bacteria
Description: partial 16S ribosomal RNA
Rfam family: Bacterial small subunit ribosomal RNA
Source: RNAcentral
GACGAACGCUGGCGGCGUGCUUAACACAUGCAAGUCGAACGGAAAGGCCCUGCUUGCAGGGUACUCGAGUGGCGAACGGGUGAGUAACACGUGGGUGAUCUGCCCUGCACUUCGGGAUAAGCCUGGGAAACUGGGUCGAAUACCGGAUAGGAGCCAUCUUUAGUGUGAUGGUUGGAAAGUUUUUUCGGUGUAGGAUGAGCUCGCGGCCUAUCAGCUUGUUGGUGGGGUAAUGGCCUACCAAGGCGGCGACGGGUAGCCGGCCUGAGAGGGUGGACGGCCACAUUGGGACUGAGAUACGGCCCAGACUCCUACGGGGGGCAGCAGUGGGGAAUAUUGCACAAUGGGCGCGAGCCUGAUGCAGCGACGCCGCGUGGGGGAUGACGGCCUUCGGGUUGUAAACUCCUUUCGCUAGGGACGAAGCUUUUUGUGACGGUACCUAGAUAAGAAGCACCGGCUAACUACGUG